Molecule: long non-coding RNA, 745 nt
Organism: Spodoptera frugiperda (fall armyworm)
Lineage: Eukaryota; Metazoa; Arthropoda; Insecta; Lepidoptera; Noctuidae
Exons: 3
Source: RefSeq, a predicted model, not a curated record
GUUUUGAUCCAUCCCUUAAAAAGAAUUACAACUUACAUUGCAAAGUUGUUGGGCACGUGUUGAGAUGUUUUCAAUUUCAUCACACCAUUUUCGUAUAGGAUGUAAUACCUAGCAAAAACGUACGAUUUUGAACUCUAUAGAUUACAAUUAAAUUAUAUAUAAAGAGAAAAAUUAUUUAAAAUCUAAUCUGAUUUCACACCUGACUGUUGCAGCUGUCUUUAUCGUGUAAUAUCGGUAUUUAACAAAGUCUAGACGUAGAAUUGAAUAUGUCACGCUCACCUUCCUACAGUCCUGUUUUAGAUAACAUUGACCAACAACGUAACAAUUUGAUAGAGAGCUCAGAUCCAGUUUUUAAUCCAUUUUACUAUGCUCAAGACCGAGAGAGCUGGUACGCCGAAGUGUCGGCACAGGCAUGUGAGGAGAGUAGACAGCAAGAAAUAGAAAAGGAAAAAUUAAAGAAGAAAAAAAAUAAAUCAAAAUCUUUUAAAAACAAAUCCUUUGUCAUGCGUAAAGAGUCCGGGACCGUUCGCCGAAUAAUAAAAAUAAUUGUACAUGAUGUGGAUGGUCGUCAUAUGGACGAAAUAGACAGUGAUCCAGAUAGUGCAAGCGUCAAUAUACAAUAUUUAGUGCGAAGCGAUAUUGAUGAAAUCAUGAGUGAAACUGAGUAUUUAGUUACUAAAAUAGUUAAAAAGUUAAGUUCAACUUCAUGUAAUUGAUAUUUAAAAUAUAAUCAUUCUAAAUAUUA